Molecule: long non-coding RNA, 1058 nt
Organism: Scophthalmus maximus (turbot)
Lineage: Eukaryota; Metazoa; Chordata; Actinopteri; Pleuronectiformes; Scophthalmidae
Exons: 3
Source: RefSeq, a predicted model, not a curated record
UGUUAUUCAGUUUGAUUGAAAUUUCAUUUUUGAUUUGUACAAAAAGUAAAAACUCAUUUGUUUUUCUUCCUGAAAGGAAACAUCUUCUGCUCUGGUGAGUUCCAGGUUUGUUGUGUAAAAGUUCUGCAGAGUUAAAAAGCCCAAAGGUCAAGGGUCGUGAGCAGACGUCUGUACCCAGACAAGUGGCCUGGAUGGAGACGCAUGGUGAGUGGUUCCCCGUGAAGAAGGACGUGUCGACGUCGACGCCGUGGAUCCGCCCCGGGACUCCGAGCUGCACCACGCACCAGUCGUGACCUUCAACACAUACUGAUGAUUAUUAACAUUGUUUUCAACAUGAUUCACAGAAGCUUCAGACACUGACCAGCUGUUCUCUUCCUCCUCGUCUCCCAUCCGUCCAUCCACUUUCCAAAGUCAGUGAAGGCAUCGGCGAUGAACUGCGGCGUCUCUCGCUGUGCGAACACACAGACGUUCAGGAGAUUAGGAAAAACAAAGACAAACCAGCAGGUUGGCAGCAGGAGCAAACCACUCGUCUGUAGCGAAAAUGACCUGGAAGAGCAAAAGGAAAUAUCAACUGAUGAACGAUUCAGAAAAUCCUUUGGCAUCUGACGCCACAUGAUGUCACCAGCAGAAGAUGGAGGCGUCGUAUUUAUAUACAGUUGGAGCGGUUCUGACGAGGCUCUGACGUUCUGUGAGACUUUGACCCGUUGUCUUGAGGGAGUGACUCGUCCUGGGAUCAAACUCAGACUCCAGGACUGAGGACGGACGACGAGCAGCUUCUUCUCCACACGAAGGAGGAAAGUGUCAUCGAGUGGAGCUCAGGUGAGUUCAGCAGGUGAGAAGCUGUGUCACUGUCGGACUGUAGAACUGUUUGUCCAAGCUUCAUGGUCGAUUCAACAUGUGGACAGAAACAUGUUGAGAGUUAAAGGACGAUGACCUGAGGAUGACUAGUGUUCAUAUCAGUGGUCCGUCGUCUUUACUGGAGUUUGUCUCAAACACUGACUGUAUAUGUAGACGAUCACUGACUGUAUAUAAAGACGAUCACUGACUGUAUAUGUAGA